GAUGAACGCUGGCGGCGUGCCUAAUACAUGCAAGUCGAGCGAACAGACGAGGAGCUUGCUCCUCUGACGUUAGCGGCGGACGGGUGAGUAACACGUGGAUAACCUACCUAUAAGACUGGGAUAACUUCGGGAAACCGGAGCUAAUACCGGAUAAUAUAUUGAACCGCAUGGUUCAAUAGUGAAAGACGGUUUUGCUGUCACUUAUAGAUGGAUCCGCGUCGCAUUAGCUAGUUGGUAAGGUAACGGCUUACCAAGGCAACGAUGCGUAGCCGACCUGAGAGGGUGAUCGGCCACUCUGGAACUGAGACACGGUCCAGACUCCUACGGGAGGCAGCAGUAGGGAAUCUUCCGCAAUGGGCGAAAGCCUGACGGAGCAACGCCGCGUGAGUGAUGAAGGUCUUCGGAUCGUAAAACUCUGUUAUUAGGGAAGAACAAAUGUGUAAGUAACUAUGCACGCCUUGACGGUACCUACUCAGAAAGCCACGGCUAACUACGU
Molecule: ribosomal RNA, 496 nt
Filed under: uncultured bacterium
Lineage: Bacteria
Description: partial 16S ribosomal RNA
Rfam family: Bacterial small subunit ribosomal RNA
Source: RNAcentral